UCCUAGCAACUCUAUACUACUGGUUGUAGUAUUAUAUGUAUUACAGGUACAGCUAUCGUUUCGUAUACAGGAAAAAUUUCUUUGUAUACGACAGAUUUGUCGGUGUGCCCGGGGAACGUGAAAUCCGGGACGUGACAGAUUAAAUUGGUAUCAGAGCUUAGUAUUAGGUCGUUGGGAUCUAGGAACCCUAAGCUGAAAAAUCUUAGGAAGGCAAGACGCAAGAGGCGCGACUUAUUGCGAAAGUUAUUGAUU
This 252-nucleotide long non-coding RNA is filed under the name Ananas comosus (pineapple). Its description in RNAcentral is "long non-coding RNA (ACOM_LNC000474)". Lineage: Eukaryota; Viridiplantae; Streptophyta; Magnoliopsida; Poales; Bromeliaceae. The record is from RNAcentral.